UACAGAGGGUGCAAGCGUUAAUCGGAAUUACUGGGCGUAAAGCGCCUGUAGGUGGUUUGGAAAGUUUGAUGUGAAAUCCCUGGGCUUAACCCGGGAAUGGCGUUGAAGACUAUCAGACUAGAGUCGGACAGAGGGUUGUGGAAUUUCCGGUGUAGCGGUGAAAUGCGUAGAGAUCGGAAGGAACACCAGUGGCGAAGGCGGCAACCUGGGUCCAGACUGACACUGAGGGGCGAAAGCGUGGGGAGCAAACAGG
RNAcentral lists this ribosomal RNA (253 nucleotides) under uncultured bacterium. RNAcentral describes it as "partial 16S ribosomal RNA". It matches the Rfam family "Bacterial small subunit ribosomal RNA", at positions 524 to 776 of the family's 1533-position model. The record is from RNAcentral.